RNAcentral lists this long non-coding RNA (234 nucleotides) under Lathyrus oleraceus (garden pea). Its description in RNAcentral is "Pisum sativum (pea) long non-coding RNA (PSAT_LNC000511)". The record is from RNAcentral. Lineage: Eukaryota; Viridiplantae; Streptophyta; Magnoliopsida; Fabales; Fabaceae.
AAAUAUUGUCUUAUUAUUCCCAUAUUAAUGGAGCACUUACUCUUGUUUUGUACAAGUAUCUUACCAUUUUGGUUGGAAAAUAUUAAGUGAAUAGGGGUGUAGGUUGCUUAAAGCACCCCUGCAUAAGAGAUAUAGGUCUUCAAAUUUCAAAAAGAAGUAAUGCAAAAAUAGUAAAUAAAAAAUUAAAAACUACAAAUGAAAAGGAAAGGUGUGACAAAAAGGCAAAGUGUGAAG